Molecule: transfer RNA, 47 nt
Filed under: Agrostis imberbis
Lineage: Eukaryota; Viridiplantae; Streptophyta; Magnoliopsida; Poales; Poaceae
Description: partial tRNA-Phe
Rfam family: tRNA
About the family: Transfer RNA (tRNA) molecules are approximately 80 nucleotides in length.
Source: RNAcentral
GUCAGGAUAGCUCAGUUGGUAGAGCAGAGGACUGAAAAUCCUCGUGU